This is a long non-coding RNA of Syngnathus acus (greater pipefish), 4218 nucleotides long. RefSeq lists it as uncharacterized. The record is from RefSeq and is a predicted model, not a curated record. The transcript is spliced from 4 exons. Lineage: Eukaryota; Metazoa; Chordata; Actinopteri; Syngnathiformes; Syngnathidae.
ACGGAGGUGUCAAUGGGUGAGUAUGGAGGGAUGCUGAAAGAGGAAUAAAGCCAAGGACCCAUCUUCACAUGGGGUGGGGUAGCGGUGGAAGGCAGCCCUAUGGGACGGGGCAGAUGUUGAAAGGACGAUGAUUUAUUAGCCUUGGUGUCCUUGGUGGCACUUGGCCACCAUCCCAGAAUUAGUGAGUGAGAGUCAGAGACAUGGGGAACAAGCAAAAGGGGAGGGCAGUCAUGAGACAUCUUAAUUCCUUCUACGGGCAUGGGGUGCCUCUUGCUCUCCGACCGUCAUGGUAUUUCAGCCCAAUUCUCUUGGAGAAAAUUAAGGUCAUCACUGAGCUUGUCCAGCAAAAUAUCUCCCCAAAAGACUUCUCACUGCUACCUCAGCCCUGAUACUGCCAUUUUUCCACUGCAAGGUAUCGUGUCUAUGUUUCAACCUCCAAAGAGGUCCUUAGGAAAUGCUCCCCUCCUCCCCAAAAAACGAAAACGCACACUGAACGCAUCAUUUGGAAUGAGACAUGCAAACAAACAGCAGCAAUGACAGAGAACAAGGGUCUCCUGUAUUUACGUAACGGCCUGUUUAUUUAAAAGGAGACUGACGGCACCAAGAGGGGACCACUGCCGCAAAGUCAAGACUAUAAGGCACAGCAGCAGGAUAAGCUCACAUUAGCAUAUUUGUUUCUUCGGUAUCGUAUUAGCUGACUCGUGAUUUGAGAUAGUCUCUUCUACUAUUAUGUGGAAAACACUAUUCUUGUUUGAUUCAAUUCACCACUAUAUGGUCUUGUUUAGAAUUUGACUACUGUUUGCUCUCCUUCCGGCAACAUUUAAUCUUGGAAUUUGUUUUGCCGUCUUAUAACACAGGCCUCCACAGACAAACUGUAGGAGGGCUUACUUAAAGUAGAAGUGGGAGGGGGGGGGGUUUGACAGCUUUCAUCAAGAGUACCCAGGGGGGAAGAUUGAUUGGCAAAGUAAUUUACUGCCCAGUGUCCAUUCUCUUCUGACUCCCUUGCCCUUCUACUGGUUCAUCUAUCCAUCCAUUCAAAGGCUUCCAACUACUUGCAAACACCUGCUGCCUGGAGGUGAAGGUCUCGUUGGGAGUGAGUCAUGUUGAGUGCAUGCGUGUCAUGAUGGCGUGCACGUCAUUUUUAAAGGCUGAAGUUGUACUCACCACUGGUCCAGAUGAAGAAGACGUAUUGUCUCAGGGUUGACAAGACGGAGGGGCUUUUGACAUAAGUGAAAGCGAGGGUCAUCUAUCACUUAGAGUGCAGAAGUGAGGAAGAGCCGGAGGAAAAGUCAAAUGAGAGCAGAAAAGAGGUUGUAGGGGUUACUUCUGCACAACUCUGACUGGCUGUCAUCAUCAUGAUCGCGACUGACCACUCAAUGCUGUCCACUUCAGCCCACCAUGACUGCUCACCCUUCACCAGCUUCCUUCCAAAGGGCCCCCGGAAACUUUUUUUCCGUUCAUCAGCACAACAAAUACAUACAGAUGCUCCAGGAAGAAGAACAAGGGGAGAGAGGAUUUCUAAGCAGAGCCUCCUUAGUUAAACAUCACUGUUGAUUUGAAGUCAAUCCGCUUCUUUGUAAACAAACACAAUUCUGAGUAGCUCAUGCGAGAAGGGCUCUCAUUAUUCAAUGUAAACGUGGACAAUUAAGUGUUUUAAGGGGACAUUAGUGAUCUGCGCUUUUCCUUCCUCGGUGCACUACAGUAUGGAAAAAGGAGAGUAAAUAGCAUGCGACAAUGACGCAGACAUCAAUGAGUAAUGAGAAACCGACAUGCCAGUGGGACCGAGGGAAAUGCUGGAUGUGCUGAUUUACCUGUCAUCUCUGAGGGAGCAUGUUUGAGAAAUUGUCCUGAUGGCAAACGUCAGCAUGGCCUCUCAAUAAUCAAUUUUAAUUUAAUCAAAGCUUUGAUGACUUCAUGUGCUACAUUCAGGUUAAUGACUUUUGCCACUACAAUGUGUUGAUCAGCAAAAAUCUAUUUAGCUCAUAGGUUAGGGCCAGGGUAUUUCCAAAUUGAAGACUUUUACAGUCGAGUGAGUGCAGACUAAUUACAAAUGUCUCGCAUUUUUUACGAGGUUUUAAAUUAAAAAAGAUAAACUAUGUCGUUUGUAUAUGCCGUUUUGAAGACUUUUGAAUGGCAGCUUUGGAGAGUAAGCAUUAUUUUUUGAGAAUGGCUGUCAUUUUGUAAAAUCCAAUUUGAAACGUUUUCAUAUGAUGUAUAUCCAAUGACUAUUGGUAAUAUAUGAGUAUGGCCUGUUGGGAGCAGAAUAGCAGGACAAUGACUGAGUAUAGGGGACGUGGGAAGAUGGUCCAGGGGUCACAAAGACUGGCACACAGAUUCCUCAACCCGCGCCAUCACCAAUUUUUCCUUUUUUUUUUUAAUGGCUCAAAGGACUGUUUUCUUCUCACUCCCAUGAAUUAUGUAAAUGGAAAAAGCUUCCCUUUCUUCCCAGGCUGGAAGAAGACAGGAAAAGGGAUGAAGCAACGUGAGCGAAACGCCUCCUCCUCAAUUUUUUUUUGUCUUGCUCGCGUUGCGUCCGAAUGAGCUUUCAUGUUGGUGCCGUGGGCCUGGAUUUUGCUCUGUGGCCAUGAGAAAGGACGAUGAUGGCCACUGAGUUGGUGGAGGGGCGGUGGUGGGGGUGUCUACGCACAAUGACAUAUACGAGGAAAGAAUGCUGGCCUUGUUGUUGGACAGCUUGACAUUGAUUAAUGAGAUAGAGAGAGGAGAAAAUAAGAGAGAGGGGUGGCACUGGUUGGGUAUGCUCUACAAGGGGGAAAGGGGGGAGUUGGACUCCCUUUAGGGUUAGAGACUCCGGAAGAGCCUUCGGCUGUGCUGCCGAUGAGGAAGAAACUUGCUGUGGUGGUGCACGGCCCAUCCCCACGUUUGGUGCAUCUUCCCUCGGCCUGAAGGAUCGUCUGCACAUGAAGGCGCGCAUUUCAACGGGAGACGCAUCAAUCCUCAUCCAUCAAAGUGCCCUUUAAAAGCUGCCACCACCACCACCACUUUCAUCAUCAUCAUCAGGAGUUGUUUUGUUGGCACUUCUCCAUACACACUUAAGAAGCUCAGCUGCUUUCUGGCAGCAGAACUCAGCAAAGCACUAAAUGUGUUUUAAAUAGUCUGUCACCAUGUUCUGUAGGAGAUGCAUUGGCUUGCUGUGAAUACUUGCUGCUAUAAAUAAGAGAUGAGCAGAUGAGACGUCGGCAUGAUCAACUCUGAAAUUGGGAGUGGAGAGAGCAGGGGCGGCAUGUCCCAUAUUGGUAUGGGGCCUGCUCGCAACAACCGCUGUCUCUGGCCAAGUGGGAUUUCAAAGCCUCUCCUGGAUGUCCCUGAACCCUUUUGUCUCCGCUCUCAUCUAUAGGACAUGGCUCGGAAGAAUUUGGUGAUGACGGGUCACGUGUCAAGCGUGACCGCUUCUCGUCUCCAUGAGGACGAGUACACACAAAUACACAGUGCAUCAGGCGUGCAGGAAACCAAAACAAUAGAGCCACGAUGGCAAGCCUGUAUUCCUCCCUCCCUCUCUAACGCACCUAAGAUGAGAAGAGAAAGAUGCAAGGUUGGCUGCAGCCUGAACAAGCCUAAUUAAGUUUAGUUAACUUAGCUCAGAGACUUCUAUUUCACGCGUGUGCUCUUACAUAGACACACACACACUUGGGCACAUAUGCACACACACUCAGUUUGGCUCACUCCCUUUCUCUAUUAACACCUGCUUCUUUUCCAAUUAGCCCCCCCUCCCUUCCAAAUAGAGACAAAUGGGCCAGUGGGGUCUGAUUAAUUCACUUCUGUCAAGGACUCUGAACAAUGCCAUCACGGCACUCACACAAGCGUGGACAUGUGCACAAGCGCACACACAGACACACACUCAAGCACACACACAUAUACAGACUACGACUAACCACAUGACAUCACACUGCAGUACUGACUAGAAUGGCACUCAGAAGAGCACAGAUCGCAACUGAGGCUGAACAACCCUAACUUGGAUCAGCUCCAGACAGUAGGGCUUCUCACCUCCUGUAAAGUAGUCCCUUUUGGGGCAGGGAAGUAGUCGAUUGAUCGAUCAUCAUAUCAACUAUGUACAGGAUAGGGAAUGUGUCAUGAUGGUAGAAAGUGUGUGCUACGAUGGUGAGAAAAGAUGAGUGACAGUUCAAAUAAUAAAAAAGGAAAUAAUGUAAAAAAAACUACAAUAAAUAAAUUGGUUUUGCCAUCAAUAGCCCUUUUUUGAUC